RNAcentral lists this ribosomal RNA (402 nucleotides) under Pristimantis chiastonotus (Brownberg robber frog). RNAcentral describes it as "partial 16S ribosomal RNA". It matches the Rfam family "Bacterial large subunit ribosomal RNA", at positions 1834 to 2457 of the family's 2925-position model. The record is from RNAcentral. Lineage: Eukaryota; Metazoa; Chordata; Amphibia; Anura; Strabomantidae.
CUUGCUCUCCUAUAAGAGGUCCAGCCUGCCCAGUGACUUAGUUCAACGGCCGCGGUACCCUAACCGUGCGAAGGUAGCGUAAUCACUUGUCUUCUAAAUAGAGACUAGUAUGAAAGGCAUCACGAGAAUUUAACUGUCUCCUUUUUCCAAUCAGUGAAACUAAUCUUCCCGUGAAGAAGCGGGAAUCCAAAAAUAAGACGAGAAGACCCUAUGGAGCUUUAAACACUAACCACCUGCCCAAUCCUAUAAAACCCCGGUUCCUAAACCAACGCAUCAUGACUACGUGUUUUUGAUUGGGGCGACCACGGAAAAUAAUCAAACCUCCGUAAUGAAAACCUACAAGCCACAGCUUUAAGUAUCAACAAAUUGACAUCCAUUGACCCAAUAUAUUGACUAAUGAAC